AUGGCCCUAUUCGAGGAAUUCUAUGUGGGCUCGAUAGACCUCUCUCGCCUUUACUAUGGGAUUAUCACCCUCAUCCCCAAGGUCCCGGUUGCUUCGGACAUUCACCAGUUCUGUCUGAUCACGAUGAUCAACGUGAUCUUCCACAUUCUGGCUAAGGGGUACGCCAACAGGGUGACCCAGCUGGCGAACCGUAUCACCCAUCCAAAUCAGUUGGCCUUCAUCCAAGAUCGGUAUAUCUUGGAUGGUGUCUUGGUCCUCCACGAAGUCCUGCACGAGGUGCGCAUUAGGAGACAACAUGCGGUCUUCUUGAAGAUCGAUUUCCAUAAGGCCUACGACAUGGUAUCUUGGUCCUUCUUCCGGGAAGUUCUACUCCGGAAGGGUUUCGAUGAUCGAUGGGUCACCCGGAUCAUGCAGAUGGUCUCGUCUGGGUGCACCGCAGUUAACAUUAAUGGGGAGAUUGGACCCUUCUUUCCCACCCUCUGUGGGGUAAGGCAAGGCGAUCCCUUCUCCUCCUUCCUGUUCCACAUGGUGGUCGACGCCCUAGCUACCAUCCUAGAUAUGGCUAAGGCAGCAGGGCAUAUUUGUGGGGUUGUCCCGCACUUGGUGGGAGGUGGAGGGGUCUCCCACCUACAAUAUGCGGGCGAUACCAUUAUCAUGGAGGAGGGCUCUGAUGACGAUAUAGCCAAUUUGAAGUUCCUCCUCAUGUGCUUCUAG
RNAcentral lists this ribosomal RNA (714 nucleotides) under Triticum aestivum (bread wheat). RNAcentral's name for it is "partial small subunit ribosomal RNA". Lineage: Eukaryota; Viridiplantae; Streptophyta; Magnoliopsida; Poales; Poaceae. The record is from RNAcentral.